AAUAGAUACCCUGGUAGUCCACCCCGUAAACGUUGGGAACUAGUUGUGGGGUCCUUUCCACGGAUUCCGUGACGCAGCUAACGCAUUAAGUUCCCCGCCUGGGGAGUACGGCCGCAAGGCUAAAACUCAAAGGAAUUGACGGGGACCCGCACAAGCGGCGGAGCAUGCGGAUUAAUUCGAUGCAACGCGAAGAACCUUACCAAGGCUUGACAUACACCAGAACACCCUAGAAAUAGGGGACUCUUUGGACACUGGUGAACAGGUGGUGCAUGGUUGUCGUCAGCUCGUGUCGUGAGAUGUUGGGUUAAGUCCCGCAACGAGCGCAACCCUCGUUCUAUGUUGCCAGCACGUAAUGGUGGGAACUCAUGGGAUACUGCCGGGGUCAACUCGGAGGAAGGUGGGGAUGACGUCAAAUCAUCAUGCCCCUUAUGUCUUGGGCUUCACGCAUGCUACAAUGGCCGGUACAAAGGGCUGCAAUACCGUGAGGUGAGCGAAUCCCAAAAGCCGGUCCCAGUUCGGAUUGAGGUCUGCAACUCGACCUCA
RNAcentral lists this ribosomal RNA (543 nucleotides) under uncultured bacterium. Its description in RNAcentral is "bacterial SSU rRNA". It matches the Rfam family "Bacterial small subunit ribosomal RNA", at positions 777 to 1320 of the family's 1533-position model. The record is from RNAcentral.